AUACAGAGGGUGCAAGCGUUAAUCGGAAUUACUGGGCGUAAAGCGCGCGUAGGCGGCUUGAUUAGUCGGAUGUGAAAGCCCCGGGCUCAACCUGGGAAUUGCAUUCGAUACUGUCAGGCUAGAGUAUGGUAGAGGGUAGUAGAAUUCCUGGUGUAGCGGUGAAAUGCGUAGAUAUCAGGAGGAAUACCAGUGGCGAAGGCGGCUACCUGGACCAAUACUGACGCUGAGGUGCGAAAGCGUGGGGAGCAAACAGGAUUAGAAACCCUUGUAGUCC
RNAcentral lists this ribosomal RNA (274 nucleotides) under uncultured bacterium. RNAcentral's name for it is "partial 16S ribosomal RNA". It matches the Rfam family "Bacterial small subunit ribosomal RNA", at positions 523 to 796 of the family's 1533-position model. The record is from RNAcentral.